This 495-nucleotide ribosomal RNA is filed under the name uncultured bacterium. Its description in RNAcentral is "partial 16S ribosomal RNA". It matches the Rfam family "Bacterial small subunit ribosomal RNA", at positions 28 to 507 of the family's 1533-position model. The record is from RNAcentral.
GACGAACGCUGGCGGCGUGCCUAAUACAUGCAAGUCGAACGCUGAAGGAGGAGCUUGCUUCUCUGGAUGAGUUGCGAACGGGUGAGUAACGCGUAGGUAACCUGCCUGGUAGCGGGGGAUAACUAUUGGAAACGAUAGCUAAUACCGCAUAAGAGUAGAUGUUGCAUGACAUUUGCUUAAAAGUUGCAAUUGCAUCACUACCAGAUGGACCUGCUUUGUAUUAGCUAGUUGGGGGGGUAACGGCUUACCAAGGCGACGAUACAUAGCCGACCUGAGAGGGUGAGCGGCCACACUGGGAAGGAGACACGGCCCAGACGCCUACGGGAGGGAGCAGGAGGGAAACGUCGGCAAGGGACGGAAGUCUGACCGAGAAACGCCGAGGGAGGGAAGAAGGAUGUCGGAUCGGAAAGCUCGGUUGUAAGAGAAGAACGAGGGUGAGAGUGGAAAGUUCACAGUGUGACGGUAACUGACCAGAAAGGGACGGCUAACUACGUG